RNAcentral lists this ribosomal RNA (331 nucleotides) under uncultured bacterium. RNAcentral's name for it is "partial 16S ribosomal RNA". It matches the Rfam family "Bacterial small subunit ribosomal RNA", at positions 338 to 666 of the family's 1533-position model. The record is from RNAcentral.
CCUACGGGAGGCAGCAGUGAGGAAUAUUGGUCAAUGGGCGGAAGUCUGAACCAGCCAAGCCGCGUGCAGGAUGACUGCUCUAUGAGUUGUAAACUUCUUUUAUAAAGGAAUAAACCUAGGUACGUGUGUUCUUCUGUAAGUACUUUACGAAUAAGGAUCGGCUAACUCCGUGCCAGCAGCCGCGGUAAUACGGAGGAUCCGAGCGUUAUCCGGAUUUAUUGGGUUUAAAGGGAGCGUAGAUGGAUUGUUAAGUUAGAGGUGAAAGUUCGGAGCUUAACUCGAGAACUGCCAUUAAUACUGGCGAUCUAGAGAGCAGAUGAGGUAGGCGGAA